RNAcentral lists this ribosomal RNA (202 nucleotides) under uncultured Chlamydiales bacterium. RNAcentral describes it as "partial 16S ribosomal RNA". It matches the Rfam family "Bacterial small subunit ribosomal RNA", at positions 307 to 504 of the family's 1533-position model. The record is from RNAcentral. Lineage: Bacteria; Pseudomonadati; Chlamydiota; Chlamydiia; Chlamydiales.
CCAACACUGGGACUGAGAACUGCCCAGACUCCUACGGGAGGCUGCAGUCGAGAAUCAUUCGCAAUGGGCGAAAGCCUGACGAUGCGACGCCGUGUGAGCGAAGAAGGCCUUAGGGUCGUAAAGCUCUUCGCUGGGAACAAGAGAAGCUGACUAAUACUCAGUGGAUUUGAGCGUACCAGGUAAAGAAGCACCGGCUAACUCC